UUAAACAAAACACACACUCUCUCUCUCACUCUCAUCACUCUCAGUCAUGAAAAAAAAAAAAUCAAAGCUCACUCUCUCUAACUCUCCCUCUCUCUCCCUUGCCGAUCAACCUACCUUCGAAUCGUUGUCCAUCACGCUGCCGCUGUCCUCCGAUCUAAGGCUUUACACCAUCCAUCUAGCCGCCGCUGUCCUUCAUCUCCACUGGGAAUCGAGCUGAUACUAUUGGUCCUACCCUCUACCGCCGACACCAACAACCUCUACCACAGCCACCGCGGCUAUCCCCGGACUCUUCCCCUCCCUCAGCUGCCUAAAACGCUCCUGAAGGAAUUGUGUAAUUAAACCCCUUGCUCUAAAAUACAAUAAUCAACACCAUGAACGCACCCAUAAUCGAUCUACUGCAAGGAGAUUUUCCAGAGGUAAUAGAAGAUUAUUUGGAACAUGGGGUCAUGAAGUGCAUUGCUUUCAAUCACCGUGGCACCCUUCUUAUUGUGAAUAUGGAGGGCAAGGAAGUGAUGGUGACUUUCAUAGUAGUCGGAUCGUUCUCCCCAUACACGGCAAUCCUGGGAAGGCCAUGGAUUCACGCAAUGAAGGCUGUUCCGUUCACCCUGCAUGUAAAAGUUAAAUUUCCUACCGAGCAUGGAGUUGUCGUGGUACGAGAAAACUAGCAAGUGGCUAGGCAAUGCCUGGUCGCCGCAGUCAGGUGGAAAGGUGAGCAAGUUGAACAGAAGGAAACCACCGAAAGAGCAUCUUCAUAGCAAUUACAGAUGCCCCGAGAAAAAGUAGGGGCAAGUUAUGCCGAGGAGCUGUUGAAGGUCAAAAUUUUUCCAGAUACUGACAGGUAUUUUCAAAUAGGGAUGAGCAUGAAAGACUAGGAUAAGGUAGAAAUAUUGUUAUUCCUUUUGCAGAAUGUGGAUGUCUUUGCAUGGAGUCCGUACGAAGUGCCCGGAGUAGACCCCGAGUUCAUUGUCCAUAAGCUCAACGUGGACCCGUCAUUCUCCCCGAAGAAGCAAAAGCUGAGAAGAGUAUCAAAAGAGCAUGUUGACGCGGUCAAGUUGGAAGUCCAGAGGCUGAAGGAAGCUUGGGUGAUAAGAGAAAUCUUCUUCCCGGAAUGGUUAGCAAAUACAGUGGUAGUGAAGAAGAAGAAUGGCAAGUGGAGGGUUUGUGUGGACUUCACAGACUUAAACCAAGCAUGCCCGAAAGACCCGUUCCCAAUGCCGAAGAUUGAUCAAUUGGUAGAUGCUACAUACGAACACCCGAGGAUAAGCUUCUUGGACGCCUUUCUGGGGUAUCAUCAUAUUGCCCUGGCACCCGAGGACCAAGAAAAGACAGCAUUCAUCUCCCCGGAUGCAAACUAUCACUAUAACGUGAUGCGAUUUGGGUUGAAGAACGCUGGAGCCACGUACCAACGGAUGUUGACAAGGAUGUUCUAAGAAAAAAUUGGGUGCACGAUAGAAGUAUACAUCGACGAUAUGGUAGUGAAGAGUAAACAGGAAGCACGACAUGUAGAAGAACUUCGAGGAGUGUUUAAGGUGAUCCGGCAACAUAAGCUGCGCCUAAAUGUUGAGAAGUGCACUUUCGGCAUAGGGGCUAGUAAGUUCUUGGGGUAUCUGAUCACUAAUUGGGGGAUGGAGGCCAACCCUGACCAGAUUGAAGCCGUGAAUCGCCUCAGGCUGUCGUGCAAUCCCAAAGAAGUGCAAGUGUUGACUGGGAUGUUAGCCACACUUAAUCGGUUCAUUUCCAAAUUUGUUGAUUGCUGCAGACCGUUUUAUCAGCUUCUGAAGAAGUGGAAGGGAUUUCAGUGGGAUAAGGAGUGUGACAAAGCCUUUUGAGAUCUGAAGGAGUACUUAACGCAAGUGCCCAUGCUAACGGCCCCAGAUUCCGAAGAAGAUUUAUUCAUGUAUCUCUCAGUGUCUGACCACGCCGUAAGCGCUGUGCUGCUGAGGGACCAAGGAAUAUAGCAACCGGUGUAUUACAUAAGCAAAACCUUGGUUGAUGCCGAGACGAGAUAUCUACCUUUGGAGAAGUUAGUGUUGGCCCUAUUGCACGCCACGAGGAAGCUACUGCAUUACUUUCAGGCUCAUACUGUGUUCGUCCUGACCGAGUAUCCUUUACAGUUGUUGUUAAAAAGGUCAGACUUCACGGGCUGAAUAGCUAAGUGGGGGACUCGGCUAGGUUCCUUCAACAUAAGGUACAAGUCGAGAAGCUUAGUGAAGGGGCAGGUCCUUGCUGAUUUCGUUGCAGAGUUCUUCCCUAGGAACGACGGAAAGAUGAUCUGUAAUGUAAAGAGUUGCCCGUGGAAGGUGUUUAUGGAUGGCGCUUCGAGUGCUAUGAGAGUCAGAGUUGGAAUUGUCAUAAUCACUCCGGAGGGUAUACGAUCGGAGCAUUCCUUCAGAUUGGGGUUCAAAGCCUCUAAUAACAAGGUCGAGUACGAGGCCUUUCUUGCCGGAUUGAGGACCGUUUUAUGCUUGGGUGCACGUGAUGUGGAGAUUUAUUCGGAUUCUCGGCUGGUUGUGUAUCAGAUCCAGGGAAGAUUUGAAGCUCGGGAUUCUCGGAUGAAAGCCUAUCUGAGUGCAACAAAGCAAAUCAUUAACAAGUUCGAAACAGUGAAGGUGGCCCAGGUAGGCCGGGCACAAAUCAGACACGCUGACUCACUAGCCACAUUAGUCUCGUCAAUGACCGAGGAGAUUCCUCGGCUUAUCAAAGUAGAGCUUAUAAGGGAAGUAUCGGUAUGGAAGAUAAUUGUAUCUCGGCCGGGGUUGACGUCACCAUGAUUUCAACAACCAGGCUGUGUUGGAUGGACCUGAUCAUUGACUUCUAGGCCGAGGAUAGAGUUCCGGACGAUGAAAAAGAGGCCAAAAAGAUUCGUUAGGUGGCUUCCCGGUAUUGGCUGUCAACAGAUCGCAAAUUAUACCAGAGGUUUUUUGGAGGAUCGUACCUUUUAUGCUUACAUCCCAAGAAAGUAAAUGAGCUUCUGUUCGAGCUGCAUGAUGGAGUGUGUGGUAGUCAUGUUGGGGGGCGUUCAUUAGCACACAGAGUGAUGACUUAAGGAUUUUGGUGGCCGCAGGUGCAGAAAGAUGUAGCGGAAUAUGCGCAGAAAUGUGAACAAUGCCAAAAACAUGCUCCUUUGAUCCACCAGCCAGUAGGUCAUUUAAACCUCGGCAAUAUUCCAUGGCUGUUUGCACAAUGGAGGCUAGACAUCCUUGGCCCAUUCCCCCGAGCAAUGGGUAACCACCGAUUCGUGUUGGUGGCGAUUGAUUAUUUCACGAAAUGGGCGGAAGCCAAGGCCCUGGCAAAUAUCCGAGAUGUAGACGUGAAGAAGUUUGUAUGGAAGAACAUAGUCACGAGAUUCGGGGUGUUGGACUCACUGAUAUCAGACAAUUGGCUACAGUUUAACAGCAAAGCUUUCUGAACCUUUUGCAGCGAUCUCGACAUCAAGAAUAGGUAUUCUACUCUGGCAAAUCCCCAAAGCAACAGCCAAGCUGAGUUAACUAACAAGAUCAUUUUGAAUGGGUUGAAGAGAAGGUUGGAUAGGGCAAAGGAAAGAUGGGUCGAGGAACUACCCAACGUUUUGUGGGCUUACCGUACAACCCCCAGAAGGUCCACAGGGGAGACUCCGUUCUCCUUGACCUAUGGAGUAGAAGUCGUGAUAUCGACUGAAGUGAACUUGUACAGUGCACGGGUCGUAGGAUUUGACCCCGUCCAAAAUGAUGGUUUAAUGCUGGAGCACUUGGAUUGGUUGGAAGAGUGCCGGGAAGCAGCAACAGUACGGCUCGCAGAAUACCAGUAGAGACUUGCCCAACGAUACAACUGAGAUGUAAAAGCUAGGGAAUUCAGUGUCGGAGACUUGGUGCUAAGAAAAGUUGUGGGAAACAUGCGGGACGUAGGUGCACGGAAGUUAGCUCAAACGUGAGAGGGACUGUACAAAGUUACUACCAUUGCAGGUGUGGGAGCGUACUAUUUAGAAGACCUUGACGAGAGGCCACUCCCCUAGCCAUGGAAUGUCCAUAACCUAAAGAAGUUUUACCACUGACCAUUCGUGCACGAAAACGUAAGUCUAAACCCUGUACACCGCUCUAGUCAAAAUAAUGAUGAAGUUCCUUGUUGUAGUUAUAUUCAAUUUCAUUAUUGCACAUUAAGUAUUAAUUAAUUGCAUAUUUAGUAUUAAUGGAUUAUGUUAAGGACAGAAACCUCAUUCUCAGUUCGAUCAAUAUCGCCGAGCAGGUGGAAACCUCAUUCUUAUAAAAAAAAUUUCUAAGUACAGAAACCUCAUUCUCAGUUCGAUCAAAAUCGUCGAGCAAGUGGAAACCUUAAUCUUAUAAAAAAAUUUCUAAGGAUAGAAACCUCAUUCUCAGUUCGAUUAAAAUCGCCGAGCAGGUGGAAACCUUAUUCUUAUAAAAAAUCCUAAAGACAGAAACCUCAUUCUCGAUUCAAUCAAUAUCACCGAGCAGGUGGAAACCUUAUUCUUAUAAAAAAAAUUCUAAGGACAGAAACCUCAUUCUCGGUUCGAUCAAAAUCACCGAGCAGGUGGAAACCUUAUUCUUAUAAAAAAUCCUAAGGAUAAAAACCUCAUCCUCAGUUCGAUCAAUAUCACCGAGCAGGUGGAAACCUUAUUCUUAUAAAAAAAAUUCUAAGGACAGAAACCUCAUUCUCGGAUCAAUCAAUAUCACCGAGUAGGUGGAAACCUUAUUCUUAUAAAAAAAAAAUUCAAAGGACAGAGACCUCACUCUCGGUUCGAUCAAAAUCGCCGAGUAGGCGAAAACCUUAUGCCAGAACAUGAGGCAGCUUGCCGUUCAUCUUCUCAAGAAAGUAAAUAUAUGUUGUGUAAAACACCCAAUAUAUGGGGGCUUGAUUGAUCCCACCGUACAAAUCAUCCUCGACCAUACAUGCAAGAAGAUAAGUGGCAACGACAAAAAAGAGGGGAAGGAAACAACACGAAACAAAGUAAUAAUCAAGCAUUCACGAGCAUGAUCAAAGAAAACACAUGACGAAUAAAUCAUCAUCCAAAUAAAGUUAAUAGAAAAAUAGAAUCAAUGUUUUGUCGCCAAACCCAGUAAUUGCAUACGGGUCAUCCCCGAGAAAUAAAUAAAUUGUUUAGUCACCACAACCCGGUGACAUAGGUAAAUUUACUGGAAAAGAAAUAGUAUUAAAAGGAAAUAAAAAGAAAUAAAAGCAUUGAAGAGUCGGUUCGGCAAUUAAGUUAAUGAAACGGAGGGUCCGAUUUGAUUGGUUGCGUCGGUCUGCUGUUGGUCAACCACGGGAGAAAGCAUAUCCCCACCAGGAUGAUCUUGAGCACGGGGGAUACUGGUGGCCUCUGUCUCAUUUGGCUCAGCAUGUGCAUCAAUCUGUUCCACCAGUUCCCUCAUGCUUGCUGUUUCCUCCUCGUCAGUGGGCACCGGGGGGUUCUGUGCGGCAGCGAUUGAGCUCAGGAAGGGAAUUUGACCGGGAUUUCUCAAAAGGGAAUCCUCAGGGACUCCCAAAAUCUGUAGAGCAGCAUCCCACCCGGCCUCAAAACCCAACCUUCGAGCCUGAUUCACAACUGGCUCCGCGGAAUUCUCAUCAUCAACGAACCCUUCAUUGUACCAUUUCUCCUCGCAAGCCUCUAAAGCCGCUCUCAGGUCGGCAAGUUCCUUGGCUUGAGCCGUGUUCAAAUUGAUUGCCUCGACUAGCUUAAUGUCCGUCUCGUUCUGCUUAGCCAAGAGUUCUGUGGACCUUUUCUCCGCCAUUGCUCUAUUUUUCUCCACGACAGCAGCUUUUUUCUCGACAGUGUCAGCCGCCUUUAUUUUCUCCUUAGCUGUUUUAAUAGCCAUCUCCCAUGCUUCCCUCUCCCGGUCAGCCUCCUCGGCAAGUUCCUUUACGUGACCAUCCAAGAUAUGGGCCAAUUAAGCAACCUAACAAAGCAACAAAGAUUAGUACGGCAAUAAAACGAAAGGUAAAUGGAAGAUAAUGAAUGUGUAAAGGAUAGUAAAGAAUUAGUAAGUAAAGGGUUACCGCGACAGUAUGCCACUGUAGCCUUCUUCCCAUGAACUCCUCCGACCCUUCUUCAAAGGCGUGCACGUCAUUAGGCAAGAGGAGGCCCUGCGCUAGAGUUUGGGCAAUGCAGCCCCUUUCACCUUUCUCCCACAUCUGCACACAAGCAUUUGUAGGAAGUGGCUUGCCGUCCAACAGAAAUUUAGGCUUCCACACCUACGCAGCUUGGGAGGAGAAUGCUACGCUCGGCCCGAAUUGAGUUUGCGGCUCCUGGAUGACAAUGUCGCCGGUUGGUCGGGGAGGAGUCCGGGCUGCUGUAUCUCCCGGGCCAGUAGGCGUUUGCUCAGCAACCCUCUGCCUCUUCCGGACUCAUCCAGUUUGAGGAGGAGGCGCUUGAAUUUGGCUCUAAGAGGGUGGCUGCUGCACGGCUUGCCUUGUACCGGGCACGAAACGGUCUAUGGUCAUAGCCCUCCGGGUCACUAUGUCUUCACUAAGGAGGGGCUUGGUGUCUGAAAGAUCGGUUAUGUCAACAACAAAUUGCUCGGCUUUCUCUACGGGAGCCUCAGGUUCAACAGGUUCCUCGGUGAUGUAGGACACAAUUUACUAUUUAAUUAUUGUAAUUUAUUAUUUUUGGUAUUUUUAUGUAAAAAACGUUAUUUUAGGUUUGGGUGAUUUAUUUUCUUGUUUUUAGGUGCAUAUAAUGCUUUUUAGGUCAAAUUUUAUUCUUGAUAUGGUUAGGUAUCAAUUAGGAGUUAUUUUAGAAUAUAUUUUCUUGUCUGUCAAGUUUUAUGGAGCCCUUAAAUAGUCCCCUAAGUCUGUAAACGUUUUUUAGAGAAAUUAUUGAAUAAAAAUCAGAAAAAAGGUGAGGCUUUGCUCUU
Molecule: long non-coding RNA, 6845 nt
Organism: Quercus robur (English oak)
Lineage: Eukaryota; Viridiplantae; Streptophyta; Magnoliopsida; Fagales; Fagaceae
Exons: 4
Source: RefSeq, a predicted model, not a curated record